GUAGGUGGCAAGCGUUGUCCGGAAUUAUUGGGCGUAAGGCGCGCGCAGGCGGUUCUUUAAGUCUGAUGUGAAAGCCCACGGCUCAACCGUGGAGGGUCAUUGGAAACUGGAGAACUUGAGUACAGAAGAGGAAAGCGGAAUUCCACGUGUAGCGGUGAAAUGCGUAGAGAUGUGGAGGAACACCAGUGGCGAAGGCGGCUUUCUGGUCUGUAACUGACGCUGAGGCGCGAAAGCGUGGGGAGCAAACAGGGAUUAGAUACCCUGGUAGUCCACGCCGUAAACGAUGAGUGCUAAGUGUUAGGGGGGUUUCCGCCCCCUUAGUGCUGCAGCUAACGCAUUAAGCACUCCGCCCCGGGGAGUACGGCCGCAAGGCUG
This 375-nucleotide ribosomal RNA is filed under the name uncultured organism. RNAcentral describes it as "partial 16S ribosomal RNA". It matches the Rfam family "Bacterial small subunit ribosomal RNA", at positions 527 to 896 of the family's 1533-position model. The record is from RNAcentral.